RNAcentral lists this ribosomal RNA (253 nucleotides) under uncultured bacterium. RNAcentral describes it as "partial 16S ribosomal RNA". It matches the Rfam family "Bacterial small subunit ribosomal RNA", at positions 524 to 776 of the family's 1533-position model. The record is from RNAcentral.
UACGGAGGGUGCGAGCGUUGUCCGGAAUCACUGGGCGUAAAGGGCGCGUAGGUGGCACGGGUAGUCGUCGGUGAAAGCUCAGGGCUCAACCCUGAGUCGGCCGGUGAUACUCCCGAGCUCGAGUGUGGUAGAGGCCAAUGGAAUUCCGGGUGUAGCGGUGGAAUGCGUAGAGAUCCGGAAGAACACCAGUGGCGAAGGCGGCCCGCUGGGCAGUGGCUGACGCUGAGGCGCGACAGCGUGGGGAGCAAACAGG